GCGCAGGCGGUCCUUUAAGUCUGAUGUGAAAUCUUGCGGCUCAACCGCAAGCGGUCAUUGGAAACUGGGGGACUUGAGUGCAGAAGAGGAAAGCGGAAUUCCACGUGUAGCGGUGAAAUGCGUAGAGAUGUGGAGGAACACCAGUGGCGAAGGCGGCUUUCUGGUCUGUAACUGACGCUGAGGCGCGAAAGCGUGGGGAGCAAACAGGAUUAGAUACCCUGGUAGUCCACGCCGUAAACGAUGAGUGCUAAGUGUUGGAGGGUUUCCGCCCUUCAGUGCUGCAGCUAACGCAUUAAGCACUCCGCCUGGGGAGUACGGUCGCAAGA
RNAcentral lists this ribosomal RNA (326 nucleotides) under uncultured bacterium. Its description in RNAcentral is "bacterial SSU rRNA". It matches the Rfam family "Bacterial small subunit ribosomal RNA", at positions 569 to 893 of the family's 1533-position model. The record is from RNAcentral.